AGGGGAUCGCAAGACCUUGCGCUCAUGGAGCGGCCGAUAUCUGAUUAGCUAGUUGGUAGGGUAAAAGCCCACCAAGGCGACGAUCAGUAGCUGGUCUGAGAGGACGACCAGCCACACUGGGACUGAGACACGGCCCAGACUCCUACGGGAGGCAGCAGUGGGGAAUUUUGGACAAUGGGGGCAACCCUGAUCCAGCAAUGCCGCGUGUGUGAAGAAGGCCUUCGGGUUGUAAAGCACUUUUGUUAGGGAAGAAACGGUUCGGGUUAAUACCCGGAGCUAAUGACGGUACCUAAAGAAUAAGCACCGGCUAACUACGUGCCAGCAGCCGCGGUAAUACGUAGGGUGCAAGCGUUAAUCGGAAUUACUGGGCGUAAAGCGUGCGCAGGCGGUUAUGUAAGACAGAUGUGAAAUGCCCGGGCUCAACCUGGGAACUGCGUUUGAAACUACA
This 448-nucleotide ribosomal RNA is filed under the name uncultured beta proteobacterium. RNAcentral's name for it is "bacterial SSU rRNA". It matches the Rfam family "Bacterial small subunit ribosomal RNA", at positions 198 to 637 of the family's 1533-position model. The record is from RNAcentral. Lineage: Bacteria; Pseudomonadati; Pseudomonadota; Betaproteobacteria.